AGUCCCGCAACGAGCGCAACCCCUGUUCUUAGUUGCCAGCACAUAAUGGUGGGGACUCUAAGAAGACUGCCUGGGAUAACCAGGAGGAAGGUGGGGAUGAUGUCAAGUCAGUAUGUCCCUUAUGUCCAGGGCUACACACGUGUUACAAUGGCUAGUACAAUGGGCUGCAAACCCGCGAGGGUAAGCUAAUCCCAAAAAACUAGCCCCAGUUCAGAUUGGAGUCUGCAACUCGACUCCAUGAAGCAGGAAUCGCUAGUAAUCGCGCAUCAGCACGGCGCGGUGAAUACGUUCCCGGGUCUU
This 300-nucleotide ribosomal RNA is filed under the name uncultured bacterium. Its description in RNAcentral is "bacterial SSU rRNA". It matches the Rfam family "Bacterial small subunit ribosomal RNA", at positions 1083 to 1382 of the family's 1533-position model. The record is from RNAcentral.